CAGUAGCCGCGGGAAUACGGAGGGAGCUAGCGUUGUUCGGAAUUACUGGGCGUAAAGCGCGCGUAGGCGGUUACUCAAGUCAGAGGUGAAAGCCCGGGGCUCAACCCCGGAACUGCCUUUGAAACUAGGUGACUAGAAUCUUGGAGAGGUCAGUGGAAUUCCGAGUGUAGAGGUGAAAUUCGUAGAUAUUCGGAAGAACACCAGUGGCGAAGGCGACUGACUGGACAAGUAUUGACGCUGAGGUGCGAAAGCGUGGGGAGCGAACAGGAUUAGAUACCCCUGUAGUCCCUGUCUCUUAUAC
RNAcentral lists this ribosomal RNA (301 nucleotides) under uncultured bacterium. Its description in RNAcentral is "partial 16S ribosomal RNA". It matches the Rfam family "Bacterial small subunit ribosomal RNA", at positions 509 to 807 of the family's 1533-position model. The record is from RNAcentral.